Molecule: long non-coding RNA, 505 nt
Filed under: Homo sapiens (human)
Lineage: Eukaryota; Metazoa; Chordata; Mammalia; Primates; Hominidae
Description: non-protein coding lnc-IGFBP3-4:9
Source: RNAcentral
CCCUCUGGCACAAAUGGAAGAAGAAAGAAGGGAGCAAGUAGCUAAAAUUAAGAAGAUGGAGAUGGAGAUGGAGCAGGUGUUUGAGAUGAAGGUCAAAGAAAAAGUUCAAAAACUGAAGGACUCUGAAGCUGAGGAACUGAUUUCAUCUGAAAUUGAAGAGACAAUCAGAGAAAAACUAUAGACCACUCAUGAUGGUUGUUAUAUGUGCUUGGCUGGGCCAUGGGUCCCAGUGUUUGGUGAAACACAGCAGCAGAUGUCCCUCACACACAUGCCCUCUUGGUUCUGUUUCUUUGAAGAACCCCAGGAAAACACACAAAGGAAAAACAACUCGAUAGACAGAAGAUUCUUCAAUGACAACAAUGGAAGCCAUCUUCACCAUUCAACUAAACUUGAAUGGGAUAUUAUCAAACUUAAAAAAAAAUUAUCAACUGAUCGUGUAAUCAGUUUCAUCUUUUAAGACAGGAAAUGAAAUAAAGUAUUUACAGAUGAAUGUAAAAUGAACUUA